Molecule: long non-coding RNA, 273 nt
Organism: Mus musculus (house mouse)
Lineage: Eukaryota; Metazoa; Chordata; Mammalia; Rodentia; Muridae
Product: predicted gene, 38836
Exons: 3
Source: RefSeq, a predicted model, not a curated record
AGAGUAAAUCACUGGUGAGGAGGUUCAGGGGUCUCUGAAGUAUGAGAAGCAGGCUUCCUCCAGAAAGCUGACAGCACAGUAGGAGAACAGCCACAAUGUUAUAUGGCUCAUAGCAAAGUAUAUGUGAAAAGAGAACAGGUCCCGUGCACGAUAACCUGCCAGAAUAUGGACUCAGCCGCACCGUAGUUGUGAGAUCUGAAAGAAGCCUCCUAAGAAAAGGAAAUUCCGUUCCUGGGAUCUUCUGAGUAUAUGCCCAGGAUUGAUAGAAGCACC